CAGCCGCCACGGGAAUACGGAGGGCGCGAGCGUUACCCGGAUUUACUGGGCGUAAAGGGCGUGUAGGCGGCCUGGGGCGUCCCAUGUGAAAGGCCACGGCUCAACCGUGGAGGAGCGUGGGAUACGCUCAGGCUAGAGGGUGGGAGAGGGUGGUGGAAUUCCCGGAGUAGCGGUGAAAUGCGCAGAUACCGGGAGGAACGCCGAUGGCGAAGGCAGCCACCUGGUCCACUUCUGACGCUGAGGCGCGAAAGCGUGGGGAGCGAACAGGAUUAGAUACCCCUGUAGUCCCUGUCUCUUAUAC
This 301-nucleotide ribosomal RNA is filed under the name uncultured bacterium. RNAcentral's name for it is "partial 16S ribosomal RNA". It matches the Rfam family "Bacterial small subunit ribosomal RNA", at positions 509 to 807 of the family's 1533-position model. The record is from RNAcentral.